GCCUCAGUAGUGUUGUAAUAGAUCAGCAUGGCAGACCGGAUAUCUGUAAGUGCGGGUUCAAGUCCCGCCUGAGGUU
RNAcentral lists this transfer RNA (76 nucleotides) under Dictyocaulus viviparus (bovine lungworm). It matches the Rfam family "tRNA". From Rfam's summary of the family: Transfer RNA (tRNA) molecules are approximately 80 nucleotides in length. Their secondary structure includes four short double-helical elements and three loops (D, anti-codon, and T loops). Further hydrogen bonds mediate the characteristic L-shaped molecular structure. tRNAs have two regions of fundamental functional importance: the anti-codon, which is responsible for specific mRNA codon recognition, and the 3' end, to which the tRNAs corresponding amino acid is attached (by aminoacyl-tRNA synthetases). tRNAs cope with the degeneracy of the genetic code in two manners: having more than one tRNA (with a specific anti-codon) for a particular amino acid; and 'wobble' base-pairing, i.e. permitting non-standard base-pairing at the 3rd anti-codon position. The record is from Rfam by way of RNAcentral. Lineage: Eukaryota; Metazoa; Nematoda; Chromadorea; Rhabditida; Metastrongylidae.